This 502-nucleotide ribosomal RNA is filed under the name uncultured bacterium. Its description in RNAcentral is "bacterial SSU rRNA". It matches the Rfam family "Bacterial small subunit ribosomal RNA", at positions 15 to 515 of the family's 1533-position model. The record is from RNAcentral.
GAUCCUGGCUCAGGAUGAACGCUAGCGGCAGGCCUAAUACAUGCAAGUCGAACGGAUAUAUGUUUUUCGGAAUAUAUAUUAGUGGCGCACGGGUGAGUAACACGUACAUAACUUGCCCUCAAGCGGGGGAUAGCCUUGGGAAACUGAGAGUAAUACCCCAUAGAAUUAUUGGACGGCAUCGUUUGAUAAUUAAAACUACGGUGCUUGGGGAUAGAUGUGCGUCUGAUUAGCUAGUUGGUGAGGUAACUGCUCACCAAGGCGACGAUCAGUAGGGGGCGUGAGAGCGUGGCCCCCCACACGGGUACUGAGACACGGACCCGACUCCUACGGGAGGCAGCAGUAAGGAAUAUUGGUCAAUGGAGGGAACUCUGAACCAGCCAUGCCGCGUGAAGGAUGACGGCCCUCUGGGUUGUAAACUUCUUUUGGAUGGGGCGAAAAACGGGAUUUAUCCUGGACUGACGGUACCAUCAGAAUAAGCACCGGCUAACUCCGUGCCAGCAGC